Rosa chinensis is the source of this 996-nucleotide long non-coding RNA. RefSeq lists it as uncharacterized. Lineage: Eukaryota; Viridiplantae; Streptophyta; Magnoliopsida; Rosales; Rosaceae. The record is from RefSeq and is a predicted model, not a curated record. The transcript has 7 exons.
CCCAAAGGACUGAAAGAAGAAAAUUUCUAUCAUCUCUAUACGGUGUUAUCCAGAAAAAAAAAGGAAAGAAAAAGAAAACAGUCAAGGUUUUUUGGUUUCUAGAUCUGGUUUGUCUCCCCCCGAUCUCCAUCAUCUGGCUCUUCGAUCUGCUGGACGAGAUGAUCAGUCCUCAUGGAUCGAAUGACUUCAAGUUCGUUUCAGAUUGAAUUGUCCUUGGUCCUUACCGCUACAAGACACUGAUUUGGAGCGACGAAGUUGCAUGCAAUCUCAGCUCUCUCUCGAUCCUUCUUCCUCACACCAGUUUAAGCCUGUCCUUACUGGAAGUCCCAUGGGGUUUGGAAGGUUUACUAAUCCAACUGGUUAUGCAGUGAAUGCCCCUGGUGUAGUUGGAGCUGCCAUUGAGCUAGUUUUUGACUAGAAAUCAAAUGCAGAAUCACUAGGUCUAAGGCAAUUUCUUGAUUGUGGUGAACAUGAAAUUUGAUGGAGAGCUUAUAUAUUUGACAACCCAUCGGCGUACUUGGGCUCAUGGAAUUUUUGGUUAUGUGAACAGAAUUAAAUUUCACCUCAUGGAGUGAAGUGUGGAGGGUGAUGAGGUGAAUAUAAUUGUCAAAGUCAAAGGCUAAACGGCUCCAUGGAAAGCUCUCAGAAGGGAAAUACAAUCACAAGGAUAUCAUCUUGUCCUUGAUUCGUCAUCACUCUAUUUAAACUUUUAAAGGAGUUAUAAUCUGAAACAAAAAGCUGCAAGAGCUUAUGCACGAGGAGACAAAAAAAUGUUGUUCACUCAAUAAGGAGAAAGCUAUGGACUAUGUAAACUGGACUUGCAGUUCAAUGACGGAAGGAGAGAGAUGAGAAGCAAUUUCUGGUUUCAUAUGAAAGAAGACAGUAGUCAACUUUGGAGUCUUCUAAUCUAGGAGGAUUUGUAUUUAUAUAAUAUUCAAAAUAAUUAAGUUUUCCAUGAUAAUUUUUUUUUUAAAAUGAAAUAUAUUGAGUCACCAA